This 30-nucleotide small RNA is filed under the name Bombyx mori (domestic silkworm). RNAcentral describes it as "ovarian small RNA-20918". Lineage: Eukaryota; Metazoa; Arthropoda; Insecta; Lepidoptera; Bombycidae. The record is from RNAcentral.
UACCUGUUGCGCCAAGCGAGCGAUGCGCUU